This 261-nucleotide long non-coding RNA is filed under the name Brassica napus (rape). RNAcentral describes it as "long non-coding RNA (BNAP_LNC023975)". Lineage: Eukaryota; Viridiplantae; Streptophyta; Magnoliopsida; Brassicales; Brassicaceae. The record is from RNAcentral.
ACUAAUUACCUAACUAAUUAAUCACCUAAACUAACUUAAAAAAAUAAUAGAGGAGAGAGGGGGGUACCUUUAGAGGGAGAGAGGAGUUUGGGAGUAAUGAACGAGGCACCCUCGUUCUAGCGCGUCUCAAUAUAUAGGGAACAUUUACGACGAAGUUACCAGGCCUGUCUUUUUUCAUUUACGACGAAGUUACCAGGCCUGUCUUUUUUCAUUUACGACGAAGUUACCAGGCCUGUCUUUUUUCAUUUACGACGAAGUUAC